This 207-nucleotide long non-coding RNA is filed under the name Olea europaea (common olive). Its description in RNAcentral is "long non-coding RNA (OEUR_LNC005605)". The record is from RNAcentral. Lineage: Eukaryota; Viridiplantae; Streptophyta; Magnoliopsida; Lamiales; Oleaceae.
GAUCAAUAGCAUUGACUUAAUGUCUAUGCUUACCAGCCUAUACAAGUGCAGAGACAGUCCAUCUCUAUGUCCUCCAUUCCCUGUUUAAGGUUUUCGAUAUUAUAGAAGCCCAAGUGUUUUAAGCUGCUGAACAUGCUCCGGGGGAAGGGGUGGGGGAGACCAAUCAGAUCCCGUCAUCUCAUUGUCAACAUCCUCCACAACAUAUUC